Molecule: ribosomal RNA, 482 nt
Filed under: uncultured bacterium
Lineage: Bacteria
Description: partial 16S ribosomal RNA
Rfam family: Bacterial small subunit ribosomal RNA
Source: RNAcentral
GACGAACGCUGGCGGCGUGCUUAACACAUGCAAGUCGAACGAUGAAGCCGGAGCUUGCUCUGGUGAAUUAGUGGCGAACGGGUGAGUAACACGUGAGUAACCUGCCCUUGACUCUGGGAUAACUGCUAGAAAUGGUAGCUAAUACCGGAUACGACCCUCGGAGGCAUCUCCAGGGGGUGGAAAGAAUUUCGGUCAAGGAUGGACUCGCGGCCUAUCAGCUAGUUGGUGAGGUAACGGCUCACCAUGGCGACGACGGGUAGCCGAACUGAGAGGUUGAUCGGCCACAUUGGGACUGAGACACGGCCCAGACUCCUACGGGAGGCAGCAGUGGGGAAUAUUGCACAAUGGGGGAAACCCUGAUGCAGCAACGCCGCGUGAAGGAUGGAGGUCUUCGGAUUGUAAACUUCUUUAGUCGGGGAAGAAAGAAAUGACGGUACCCGAAGAAUAAGCCACGGCUAACUACGUGCCAGCCGCCGCAGUAA